CCUACGGGAGGCAGCAGUGAGGAAUAUUGGUCAAUGGGCGCGAGCCUGAACCAGCCAAGUCGCGUGAAGGACGACGGUCCGAUGGAUUGUAAACUUCUUUUGUCAGGGAGCAAAAGAAGCCACGCGUGGCGUUCCGAGAGUACUCGAAGAAAAAGCAUCGGCUAACUCCGUGCCAGCAGCCGCGGUAAUACGGAGGCUGCGAGCGUUAUCCGGAUUUAUUGGGUUUAAAGGGUGCGCAGGCGGAAGAUGAAGUCAGCGGUAAAAUUGAGAGGCUCAACCCCUUCGAGCCGUUGAAACUGGUUUUCUUGAGUGAGUGAGAAGUAUGCGGAAUGCGUGGUGUAGCGGUGAAAUGCAUAGAUAUCGCGCAGAACUCCGAUUGCGAAGGCAGCAUACCGGCGCUCAACUGACGCUCAGGCACGAAAGUGUGGGUAUCGAACAGGAUUAGAUACCCUUGUAGUC
RNAcentral lists this ribosomal RNA (459 nucleotides) under uncultured bacterium. RNAcentral's name for it is "partial 16S ribosomal RNA". It matches the Rfam family "Bacterial small subunit ribosomal RNA", at positions 338 to 795 of the family's 1533-position model. The record is from RNAcentral.